UGAAUACGAGAUGCUACGGCGUCGAAGCAGUGUAUGUCAGACUUCCAAGAAAAGCUCGCAAUGUCAUAAAUAAAGAAUGCCUGUACCAUAACCGACACAGGUGGGUAGGUAGAGUAUACUAAGGGGCGCGAGAUAACUCUCUCUAAGGAACUCGGCAAAAUAACUCCGUAACUUCGGGAGAAGGAGUGCCUUCUUUAAGAAGGUUGCAAUAACAAGAUCCAAGCAACUGUUUAUCAAAAACACAGGUCUCCGCUAAGUCGUAAGACGAUGUAUGGGGGCUGACGCCUGCCCAGUGCCAGAAGGUUAAAGAAGCUGGUUAGCAAUAGCGAAGCUGGUGACUGAAGCCCUGGUGAACGGCGGCCGUAACUAUAACGGUCCUAAGGUAGCGAAAUUCCUUGUCGGGUAAGUUCCGACCCGCACGAAAGGCGUAAUGAUUUGGAUACUGUCUCGGAGAGGGACUCGGUGAAAUAGACUUGUCUGUGAAGAUGCGGACUACCUGCACCAGGACAGAAAGACCCUAUGAAGCUUUACUGUAACCUGAAAUUGAAAUUGGACUUUAUUUGCGCAGUAUAGGUGGGAGGCGUUGAAAGUAAUCUUGCGGGAUUAGUGGAGCCAUCAGUGAGAUACCACUCCUAUAAUGUUAGAUUUCUAACUUUGGAUCAUGAUCUGGUCAAAGAACAGUUUCAGGCGGGCAGUUUGACUGGGGCGGUCGCCUCCCAAAUGGUAACGGAGGCGUACAAAGGUUUCCUCUGAACGGGUAGAAAUCGUAUCUAGAGUGUAAAGGCAUAAGGAAGCUUGACUGUGAGACCUACAAGUCGAGCAGGGACGAAAGUCGGUCUUAGUGAUCUGACGGUGCUGAGUGGAAAGGCCGUCACUCAACGGAUAAAAGUUACUCUAAGGAUAACAGGCUGAUCUCCCCCAAGAGUUCACAUCGACGGGGAGGUUUGGCACCUCGAUGUCGGCUCAUCGCAUCCUGGGGCGGUAGUACGUCCCAAGGGUUGGGCUGUUCGCCCAUGAAAGCGGUACGCGAGCUGGGUUCAGAACGUCGUGAGACAGUUCGGUCCAUAUCCGGUGUAGGCGUUAGAAUAUUGAGAGGAGCCUUCUCUAGUACGAGAGGACCGAGAAGGACAUACCUCUGGUGUACCAGUUAUCGUGCCAACGGUAAACGCUGGGUAGCUAUGUAUGGAGAGGAUAACCGCUGAAAGCAUCUAAGUGGGAAGCCCACCUCAAGAUGAGUAUUCUCAU
This 1245-nucleotide ribosomal RNA is filed under the name metagenome. Its description in RNAcentral is "bacterial LSU rRNA". It matches the Rfam family "Bacterial large subunit ribosomal RNA", at positions 1564 to 2817 of the family's 2925-position model. The record is from RNAcentral.